Molecule: long non-coding RNA, 242 nt
Filed under: Capsella rubella
Lineage: Eukaryota; Viridiplantae; Streptophyta; Magnoliopsida; Brassicales; Brassicaceae
Description: long non-coding RNA (CRUB_LNC000722)
Source: RNAcentral
UGAACCGAGUCUCUAUAUGAAGUGUCUUUUAGUAAUGUUAUUGAGUAUUGGUAAAAUCGAAUAUCUCAUUUGUAUUAUUGAAAAUAUUUUUUUUUUUUAUUGCUUACAACACUGAAAACUUCCUUGGAAUUUAACAACUGAUUUCAUCCAAAUGUAGUUGUUUUAUUAAACGACUUGAAAAAAAUUGAUUGGAUGACUUUAUUCUCCUAGUAAUUCUCUUCCCAUAGUCAUUGAUGAAUCAU